UAUAUAUUAAUGUGUAUUGCAUUGAAAUUUUUGAAGUUUUUAGAAAUAGUUAAAAUCUAUUAUAUAUAA
RNAcentral lists this transfer RNA (69 nucleotides) under Hypoponera sauteri. RNAcentral describes it as "tRNA-Gln". The record is from RNAcentral. Lineage: Eukaryota; Metazoa; Arthropoda; Insecta; Hymenoptera; Formicidae.